RNAcentral lists this ribosomal RNA (468 nucleotides) under uncultured bacterium. Its description in RNAcentral is "partial 16S ribosomal RNA". It matches the Rfam family "Bacterial small subunit ribosomal RNA", at positions 28 to 507 of the family's 1533-position model. The record is from RNAcentral.
GACGAACGCUGGCGGCGUGCUUAACACAUGCAAGUCGAACGGAAAGGCCCUGCUUUUGUGGGGUGCUCGAGUGGCGAACGGGUGAGUAACACGUGAGUAGCCUGCCCUUGACUUUGGGAUAACUUCAGGAAACUGGGGCUAAUACCGGAUAGGAGCUCCUGCUGCAUGGUGGGGGUUGGAAAGUUUCGGCGGUUGGGGAUGGACUCGCGGUUUAUCAGCUUGUUGGUGGGGUAGUGGCUUACCAAGGCUUUGACGGGUAGCCGGCCUGAGAGGGUGACCGGCCACAUUGGGACUGAGAUACGGCCCAGACUCCUACGGGAGGCAGCAGUGGGGAAUAUUGCACAAUGGGCGGAAGCCUGAUGCAGCAACGCCGCGUGCGGGAUGACGGCCUUCGGGUUGUAAACCGCUUUCGCCUGUGACGAAGCGUGAGUGACGGUAAUGGGUAAAGAAGCACCGGCUAACUACGUG